RNAcentral lists this ribosomal RNA (465 nucleotides) under Vreelandella stevensii. RNAcentral describes it as "partial 16S ribosomal RNA". It matches the Rfam family "Bacterial small subunit ribosomal RNA", at positions 338 to 795 of the family's 1533-position model. Lineage: Bacteria; Pseudomonadati; Pseudomonadota; Gammaproteobacteria; Oceanospirillales; Halomonadaceae. The record is from RNAcentral.
CCUACGGGGGGCAGCAGUGGGGAAUAUUGGACAAUGGGCGAAAGCCUGAUCCAGCCAUGCCGCGUGUGUGAAGAAGGCCUUCGGGUUGUAAAGCACUUUCAGUGGGGAAGAAAGCCUUGGGGCUAAUACCCUCGAGGAAGGACAUCACCCACAGAAGAAGCACCGGCUAACUCCGUGCCAGCAGCCGCGGUAAUACGGAGGGUGCGAGCGUUAAUCGGAAUUACUGGGCGUAAAGCGCGCGUAGGCGGUCUGAUAAGCCGGUUGUGAAAGCCCCGGGCUCAACCUGGGAACGGCAUCCGGAACUGUCAGGCUAGAGUGCAGGAGAGGAAGGUAGAAUUCCCGGUGUAGCGGUGAAAUGCGUAGAGAUCGGGAGGAAUACCAGUGGCGAAGGCGGCCUUCUGGACUGACACUGACGCUGAGGUGCGAAAGCGUGGGUAGCAAACAGGAUUAGCUACCCUGGUAGUC